CCCAGUAUUGCAGGAGCAGGAAGCCUAGCAACUACUUUUGCCAAACUUCUGUUUUAAUAGCCUUGUUUGGAUUCAGUCAACGAGAGGCAUUCAAGUGAAAUUUGGGAGAUAGAAGAGAAGCAGAAGCCAUUAUUGUUUCUCCAACAUCAAAGUUCCUUCAUUUUAAUACCUGAAAAUCACUAACCAUGGAUGCUGCUGAGAACUAAGACUAGAUAAGAACUGAAGACGGGAAGGUGAACUACUCGUGGAUCCCUUCCUUUUGGGAAAGCCAGCCAUCGUGGAUGCAAGAGCACUUGACGUUAGACCUAGGUGAAGAGAACCUGAGGGGUCCUACCAAAAGCCAGCACUAACAUGCCAUCCAUGUGAAGUCUUGCAAGAAAAUGAAGUAAUGUUAUUGGAAACUGAAGAAAAGGGGAUCCUUAUUACACUGUAUAGUGGCAGAAAGUUCAACAACAUUGUUGCCUGAAGUAACUGAAAGGUAGAAAAUGUGUCUAAUGAACUGGGUGAUCUAGCUAGAGAGAUUUCCAAGCAAAGGUUUCUUCUUGUUGCUUACAGCAAAAUGUAAGAGGAGAGAGAGAAACUAAAGGAAGAACUGUUAAACAACAAGGAGACAGAAUUUGCUGGUUUUGAAAAUUCUCAGCCUCUCCAAAUGGCAAACAAUGCUGAAGUUAAGAUAUAGCUUCUGAGCAAAAAUCAAAUCCAGGGCACUACCAGUAAAACACGGUCCAAAGAAAAAGCCAAGGGUGUGGCUAUAAAAUCUUUCUAGUCUCAAAAAGAUUUAAGGUUGCGCAUUAGAGUACUAUUGAGUCAGACAAAAGGGCUUCUAAGGAGAUUAAAGGUAUAUCUCUUUAGGAGAUUAAAGGCAUAGUCUCUUAAUAAAAUGGUAAAGUGUCUAGGAAACUUAAGUUCAUUGUCCCUCAGCCAUCCCAUCAGAAGCCCAAGGUAGAGAAGAGCUUAUUUGAAAGAUAUUUGUAGGUGUGGCUUUGUCUAAUGGGGUAGACCCCCAUAAGAUUCAUGGAAGACUCAUAAAAUUUUUUAAAGAAUUAUGUAUGCAGAAAUAUUGUCACCUUGGACCAAAAGGGAUAAAGAUGGGACAAAAUAAAAAGAGGCCUUUAGACCCUCAAAUUUCUACUAGCAAGAAGUAGGCUGAGAAAAUUCCUCAUCUAUAAAUGUGGGCUAUCUUUCAUGAAAAAGGGAGGAUGACCUAGAAGUCAGAACCAAGACCCCAGAACAUGAUGCUGAGAGCCAGGGAGAAUUAUUCCCCAGCCUUGAGACUUAAUCAAGGAACUUUCAACAUUAGCUUAGCUGGAUUUCAGAAUUAUAAUGGACCAGUGACUCCUUUGUGCCUGCCAUCUUCCCUCCUUUUGAACAGAAAUAUCUACAGCAGUUACCCUGUUACGCCUGUCUCACCAUUGUGUGUUGGGUAUAUGGAGGGGCAGAUAAACUUUAGUUUCACCGGGGGGGAAGAACUGUACUCAAGGAGCUACAUUUAAGGAACUAAACCCAGGGAGCCUCAACUGCACCUGGACCUGAUUUAGAUGAUGAGAUGCCAUACUUCAAGCUGAUGCUGUAAUAAAGGUGAGACUUGUGGUGACUUUGGGAGAAAGUGAGUGUAUUUUGCACGUGGGAGGGACAUGAAUCCUUGGGGACCAGAGAAUGGACUGUGGUAGCCAGCCUCCAAGAUCAGCCCUCAAUUAUCCUUGCCUCCUGGUAUUCACACCCUUGUGUAGGCCCUUCCUACACUGUGUCACAAUUGGUCUGUGUGACCAACAGCAUGUGGCAGAAGUGAUGGUAUGUAACUUCUGAGGUUAGGUUAUUAAAAAGACUGCAGCUUCCAUACCAGUAUCUCUCUGUCUCUCUGUCUCUGUCUCUAUUUCUAUCUCUUGGAUAACUCCCUGUUGGAGAAGCAAGCUGCCAUACUGUAUGCAGCUCUAGGGAGAAGGCCACCUGGCAGAAUACUAAAGCCUCUAGGAACUGUGUCCUGCCCACAACCAUGUGAGUGAACUUAGUAGUGAAUUAUUCAGCCCUACUCUAGCUAUGAGAUGACUGCAGUCCCAGCCAACAUCCUGAAAGCAACCUCAUGAGACCUUGAAUCAGAACCACCUGGCUAAGUCACUCUCAGAUUACUAAACCUUAGGAACUGUAUGACAUAAUAAAAUGUUUGUUGUUUUAAACUGUGAAGUUUUGAGGUAAUUUAUUAUGCAGUAACAGAUAACAAACACACCAGCCUAAGAGCUAGGACUGCCCAACAGAAGCUAGAACAGAAGCUAGAGAGGGGCUGUCCUUCUGCAGUUGGAGCCAUAAAGAAGAUGCAGCCACUACUGGAGACACUGCAUGAAGCACAGGGAGAAGGAAAGACUUAGCCUCUUCAUGGCCCCUCAUCUGCCACCCUUGCCUCCACU
This 2402-nucleotide long non-coding RNA is filed under the name Equus asinus (donkey). Its description in RNAcentral is "lncRNA (ENSEASG00005030144.1)". Lineage: Eukaryota; Metazoa; Chordata; Mammalia; Perissodactyla; Equidae. The record is from RNAcentral.